This 443-nucleotide ribosomal RNA is filed under the name uncultured bacterium. RNAcentral's name for it is "partial 16S ribosomal RNA". It matches the Rfam family "Bacterial small subunit ribosomal RNA", at positions 338 to 795 of the family's 1533-position model. The record is from RNAcentral.
CCUACGGGAGGCAGCAGUGGGGAAUAUUGGGCAAUGGAGGAAACUCUGACCCAGCAACGCCGCGUGAAUGAUGAAGGUCUUCGGAGUGUAACGUUCUUUGCUAAGGGAAGAAAAAAGGGACGGUAACUUAGGAAUAAGCCUCGGCUAACUACGUGCAAGCAGCCGCGGUAAUACGUAGGAGGCAAGGGUUAUCCGGAAUGAAGGGGUGUAAAGGGAGAGUAGGUGGUGAGGGAAGUGAUAGGUGAAAGCCCUAGGCUCAACCUGAGAACUGCAAAAAAAACUAUCAAGCUAGAGUACAGGAGAGGAAAACGGAAUUCCUAGUGUAGCGGUGAAAUGCGUAGAUAUUAGGAAGAACACCAGUGGCGAAGGCGGCUUUCUGGACUGAAACUGACGCUGAGGCUCGAAAGCGUGGGGAGCGAACAGGAUUAGAUACCCCUGUAGUC